RNAcentral lists this ribosomal RNA (256 nucleotides) under uncultured bacterium. RNAcentral describes it as "partial small subunit ribosomal RNA". It matches the Rfam family "Bacterial small subunit ribosomal RNA", at positions 26 to 286 of the family's 1533-position model. The record is from RNAcentral.
AGGACGAACGCUGGCGGCGUGCUUAACACAUGCAAGUCGAGCGGAAAGGCCCUUCGGGGUACUCGAGCGGCGAACGGGUGAGUAACACGUGAGUAACCUGCCCCUAGCUUCGGGAUAGCUCCGGGAAACCGGAAUUAAUACCGGAUACGACGGCGGCCGACAUCGGCCGUGGUGGAAAGAUUUAUCGGCUAGGGAUGGGCUCGCGGCCUAUCAGCUUGUUGGUGGGGUAACUGCCUACCAAGGCGACGACGGGUAG